RNAcentral lists this ribosomal RNA (93 nucleotides) under uncultured bacterium. RNAcentral describes it as "partial 16S ribosomal RNA". It matches the Rfam family "Bacterial small subunit ribosomal RNA", at positions 1388 to 1482 of the family's 1533-position model. The record is from RNAcentral.
CACCGCCCGUCACACCAUGGGAGUCAGUUGCUCUAGAAGUCGGUGCGCCAACCUCGGAGGCAGCCGCCCAAAGAGUGACUGGUGACUGGGGUG